UACUAUCACACUCUCUAAUUAGUUAGAGAGCGGUGGAUUUGGAUGCUGCCUGGUACUUACUGUCAGGCUCAUCUUAAAUAAAUUAGUGCGACUCUUAGUUAAACAUAGUACGGCGUGAUAAGUAACCCUCGCUGUUUUCUGUCUGAUUAGGAGGAGCUCUGUGCUUCAAACGGUCUCAGGACAAUAUUUGAUA
This 193-nucleotide unclassified non-coding RNA is filed under the name uncultured Helvellosebacina. Its description in RNAcentral is "sequence contains ITS2". Lineage: Eukaryota; Fungi; Basidiomycota; Agaricomycetes; Sebacinales; Sebacinaceae. The record is from RNAcentral.